This 72-nucleotide transfer RNA is filed under the name Salmo salar (Atlantic salmon). It matches the Rfam family "tRNA". From Rfam's summary of the family: Transfer RNA (tRNA) molecules are approximately 80 nucleotides in length. Their secondary structure includes four short double-helical elements and three loops (D, anti-codon, and T loops). Lineage: Eukaryota; Metazoa; Chordata; Actinopteri; Salmoniformes; Salmonidae. The record is from Rfam by way of RNAcentral.
UCCCAAAUGGUCAAGCAGUUAGGAUUCCUGAUUUUCACACAGGUGGCCCGGGUUCAACUCCCGGUAUGGGAA